Zingiber officinale is the source of this 1408-nucleotide long non-coding RNA. RefSeq lists it as uncharacterized. NCBI's taxonomy places the organism in Eukaryota, Viridiplantae, Streptophyta, Magnoliopsida, Zingiberales, Zingiberaceae. The transcript is spliced from 3 exons. The record is from RefSeq and is a predicted model, not a curated record.
AAUUUUGUACAUGUCCAAAUAAAGGUGUUUUAUGUAUUUCUAUGCUCUGGUGUUAAUGAUACCUUAGUGUAUGCUUUUAUAUGCAGUGUUACGUAUCAAGCCUGAAUAUCAAUUUUUACAUGAUGUAUAUGAAUAAUUUUCGACAAAUCUAAGUUGAUCAAUGAUCUACUUUGCUGAUUAAUUAUCUAGGCAAGAGUCAUCUUGAGUGGACCAGAUACAUGGAGCGUUUAGAAGUCAAAUGUGGCUACCUAAAGCUUGCCUCUCUCUUUUCUGUGCUUAACCACAUAAUCUAUUGGUCGUAUGUUUAUAUUUGUUUACCCAUUUUCUUUGCCCUUUCCUACCUUACAAGUCAAUUUGAUGAUACCUUUGAGAAAUAUUUAGUUAGAAAAGAAAUAAUUGAUAAGUUUUUGUAGUCUCUUCUCAUUAGUUGUAUGUGGUUGAUUAAGGCAAGAAAAGCCAAAAGGUGAGAAAGGCAAGUAUAUGAUUCAUGUGACCACAAUAAUUUGCAGGCACUUGAUGCUAUUUUGCCUAAUGUUAUUAUGCUUGUUAUAGCUCUGUGUUUUAGAUGAUGAAAAAGAAGCACAUGGUUGCUCGUCCUGUUGAUGCUUUAGCUUAGUGGAAGUUCUCUUACUUUUUGUCUAGCGAUAACAAAAGAGCAACUCCAAUAUAUUUGCUGAAGUUGGUGGUUUAAGAGCAUACACUUUCUUUUUUAUUACACACUGCUUCGGAGAUUGUCAUAAAUCAAUCGAAUAAAGAGCACAAAUAAAAUAGAACACUUUCUUUUACUCUGUUUUCCCUUGAGAAUUCUUUUUGAGGCCUAAAAACGAUUUGAGACCAGAGUUCAAAUGUCAAUAUUCAUCUCUAAUUCUUACUCGACUGUCUUACCUCUUUAUCUCUUUUCAGCUGCUAAACUAGCAGAGGUAGUGGCAUAACUUUGAAUUAACGAAGUACAGGAGCAGCAUGGUUCGUACGGUAUCGAAAUGUCUAAACGUAGUUUCUUGUUUCUUCUGGAUUUCUAAAAUUUGGCAGCAUAAGAAUUUGUCUAGCAAUGAAGCAUUUUCUGUAUCGGUUCAACUGUAUAUGACUUCGUGCUCAUCGAUAGGUUGGAGUUCAGUGGAUGGACUGAUGGCAGGGAGAUGGAGUUGCAGCCAUCGGCGCCUGGUUUCUUUCAUCCUUAUGCAGUGUUGAUACCCAAUGGAGCGGCGCCGAAUGAAGCAAAAAGAGCUAGAGAGGCUGUCGGCGCUCCGGCAGCGAUGACGCCCAUGGAUCAUAGCCGCUCCGAUAAAAUCUAAACAUUGUUUCCACCUCCGCUGUUUCAACUUCCAUGAGGAACAGAGUCAACUACCUGUAGUUGUCUCCAUUGGAUUUUGCCUCUUGUCUGCCUCUAUUUCUUUUAUACUCUCUAAAG